UAGCUCAGUGGUAGAGCGUUUGCCUAGCAAGCGCAAGGCCCUGGGUUCGGUCCCCAG
Molecule: non-coding RNA, 57 nt
Organism: Rattus norvegicus (Norway rat)
Lineage: Eukaryota; Metazoa; Chordata; Mammalia; Rodentia; Muridae
Source: Rfam